UACGUAGGGGGCAAGCGUUGUCCGGAUUUAUUGGGCGUAAAGAGCGUGUAGGCGGCCAGGUAGGUCAGCUGUGAAAACUCGAGGCUCAACCUCGAGCUGUCGGCUGAAACCAUCUGGCUAGAGUCCGGAAGAGGAGAAUGGAAUUCCCGGUGUAGCGGUGAAAUGCGCAGAUAUCAGGAGGAACACCGGUGGCGAAGGCGGUUCUCUGGGCAUUACCUGACGCUGAGGAGCGAAAGUGUGGGGAGCGAACAGG
Molecule: ribosomal RNA, 253 nt
Filed under: uncultured bacterium
Lineage: Bacteria
Description: partial 16S ribosomal RNA
Rfam family: Bacterial small subunit ribosomal RNA
Source: RNAcentral